UAGGAUGGCUUAGCCAGGAAGUCUGCAUCUACAUG
RNAcentral lists this ribosomal RNA (35 nucleotides) under Babesia microti. RNAcentral's name for it is "partial large subunit ribosomal RNA LSU2". The record is from RNAcentral. Lineage: Eukaryota; Apicomplexa; Aconoidasida; Piroplasmida; Babesiidae. RNAcentral also lists the same sequence under 1 other name.